CCAGCCAAGUAGCGUGAAGGAUGACUGCCCUAUGGGUUGUAAACUUCUUUUAUAAAGGAAUAAAGUCGGGUAUGCAUACCCGUUUGCAUGUACUUUAUGAAUAAGGAUCGGCUAACUCCGUGCCAGCAGCCGCGGUAAUACGGAGGAUCCGAGCGUUAUCCGGAUUUAUUGGGUUUAAAGGGAGCGUAGAUGGAUGUUUAAGUCAGUUGUGAAAGUUUGCGGCUCAACCGUAAAAUUGCAGUUGAUACUGGAUGUCUUGAGUGCAGUUGAGGCAGGCGGAAUUCGUGGUGUAGCGGUGAAAUGCUUAGAUAUCACGAAGAACUCCGAUUGCGAAGGCAGCCUGCUAAGCUGCAACUGACAUUGAGGCUCGAAAGUGUGGGUAUCAAACAGGAUUAGAUACCCUGGUAGUCCACACGGUAAACGAAGAAGACUCGCUGUUUGCGAUAUACUGCAAGCGGCCA
RNAcentral lists this ribosomal RNA (461 nucleotides) under uncultured bacterium. Its description in RNAcentral is "bacterial SSU rRNA". It matches the Rfam family "Bacterial small subunit ribosomal RNA", at positions 388 to 849 of the family's 1533-position model. The record is from RNAcentral.